RNAcentral lists this ribosomal RNA (825 nucleotides) under uncultured Staphylococcus sp. RNAcentral describes it as "bacterial SSU rRNA". It matches the Rfam family "Bacterial small subunit ribosomal RNA", at positions 65 to 871 of the family's 1533-position model. Lineage: Bacteria; Bacillati; Bacillota; Bacilli; Caryophanales; Staphylococcaceae. The record is from RNAcentral.
AGCGAACGGACGAGAAGCUUGCUUCUCUGAUGUUAGCGGCGGACGGGUGAGUAACACGUGGAUAACCUACCUAUAAGACUGGGAUAACUUCGGGAAACCGGAGCUAAUACCGGAUAAUAUUUUGAACCGCAUGGUUCAAAAGUGAAAGACGGUCUUGCUGUCACUUAUAGAUGGAUCCGCGCUGCAUUAGCUAGUUGGUAAGGUAACGGCUUACCAAGGCAACGAUGCAUAGCCGACCUGAGAGGGUGAUCGGCCACACUGGAACUGAGACACGGUCCAGACUCCUACGGGAGGCAGCAGUAGGGAAUCUUCCGCAAUGGGCGAAAGCCUGACGGAGCAACGCCGCGUGAGUGAUGAAGGUCUUCGGAUCGUAAAACUCUGUUAUUAGGGAAGAACAUAUGUGUAAGUAACUGUGCACAUCUUGACGGUACCUAAUCAGAAAGCCACGGCUAACUACGUGCCAGCAGCCGCGGUAAUACGUAGGUGGCAAGCGUUAUCCGGAAUUAUUGGGCGUAAAGCGCGCGUAGGCGGUUUUUUAAGUCUGAUGUGAAAGCCCACGGCUCAACCGUGGAGGGUCAUUGGAAACUGGAAAACUUGAGUGCAGAAGAGGAAAGUGGAAUUCCAUGUGUAGCGGUGAAAUGCGCAGAGAUAUGGAGGAACACCAGUGGCGAAGGCGACUUUCUGGUCUGUAACUGACGCUGAUGUGCGAAAGCGUGGGGAUCAAACAGGAUUAGAUACCCUGGUAGUCCACGCCGUAAACGAUGAGUGCUAAGUGUUAGGGGGUUUCCGCCCCUUAGUGCUGCAGCUAACGCAUUAAGCACUCCG